This 343-nucleotide unclassified non-coding RNA is filed under the name soil metagenome. RNAcentral's name for it is "partial contains 5.8S ribosomal RNA, internal transcribed spacer 2, and large subunit ribosomal RNA". The stretch from base 1 to 120 matches the Rfam family "5.8S ribosomal RNA", at positions 35 to 154 of the family's 154-position model. The record is from RNAcentral.
GAUGAAGAACGUAGCGAAAUGCGAUAAGUAAUGUGAAUUGCAGAAUUCAGUGAAUCAUCGAAUCUUUGAACGCACAUUGCGCCCGCCAGCAUUCUGGCGGGCAUGCCUGUUCGAGCGUCAUUUCAACCCUCGAGCCCCCCCGGGGGCCUCGGUGUUGGGGGACGGGACACCAGCCGCCCCCGAAAUGCAGUGGCGACCCCGCCGCAGCCUCCCCUGCGUAGUAGCACACACCUCGCACCGGAGCGCGGAGGCGGUCACGCCGUAAAACGCCCAACUUUCUUAGAGUUGACCUCGGAUCAGGUAGGAAUACCCGCUGAACUUAAGCAUAUCAAUAAGCGGAGGA